Molecule: long non-coding RNA, 867 nt
Organism: Bos indicus x Bos taurus (hybrid cattle)
Lineage: Eukaryota; Metazoa; Chordata; Mammalia; Artiodactyla; Bovidae
Source: Ensembl
CGCACCCCCUGGCCAGGGUCUGCCGAGAAUCUGUAGGCCUGUAAGGACACAGUGGAUGCCUUGUAAGUCACUUGGCUGCUCAUGCUCCCACUGCAUGCCAAUUAGUCUGCAGGCUGCUCUUUUUCUGCUGCCAUCAGAACCACACUCCUGAAUCAGGGAUGUCUCAGGAACCACAUGACCGAGACACCAAGUGCUGAUGCUGAUGCCCAGUGUCUGUCAUCAACCUGGACCUCAAAUGGCCUUGGCAAACCCUGAACCCUUAGCAGACCAUUUUCAGAAUAGGUACUAUGAAAGUUACCUAUUUUACAAGGCCACCUUCAGUAUCCACAACAAAUGGGAACAAGAACAGGAAACUCAAGUGUGCAGAUGCUGAGCAUGAUAUGUUCCUAAUUCAACAUGGGACAGAAAAGAGGCCCUGUACACUGUUCCUACAACCUAGUAGAGGGAAGGCAAAACUUCCCCUCUUCGAGAACAUCACAAAAGUCCACUGCCCUGGAGGGUAAAGACUGAUGAGGCAUCACAAAGAAAAUUUCUGUUGUGGUUACAAAGAAAAAUGACUGGAAACAUGGAGAAGAAACACUUUGCAAGGCAGAUGGUAUCCAAAUCCUUGCUUUCAAUAUAAUUGAACCAGGUCAUCUAGUGAAGGAUCAUUUUAAAAUAUUUGAUCGAAAAUGGGAAGUGAUUUUUUUGGGAUGUAACUUGGAUUAUUUUAUUAUACACUUAGAAAAUUAAAACCAUUUACUGAUUUAUGAGAAAAGUUGCUCUCUGUAAUACUGCAAUGGAAAAUAGGGAUAACACUGAUGUUGAGAAAUAACUGAUAUUUAUCAUGCAUUUCCAAUAAAAUUUAUUUUCCAUGUAAAAGUAUCA